This 424-nucleotide ribosomal RNA is filed under the name uncultured bacterium. Its description in RNAcentral is "partial 16S ribosomal RNA". It matches the Rfam family "Bacterial small subunit ribosomal RNA", at positions 354 to 796 of the family's 1533-position model. The record is from RNAcentral.
GUGGGGAAUCUUGCGCAAUGGGCGAAAGCCUGACGCAGCCAUGCCGCGUGAAUGAUGAAGGUCUUAGGAUUGUAAAAUUCUUUCACCGGGGACGAUAAUGACGGUACCCGGAGAAGAAGCCCCGGCUAACUUCGUGCCAGCAGCCGCGGUAAUACGAAGGGGGCUAGCGUUGCUCGGAAUUACUGGGCGUAAAGGGCGCGUAGGCGGACAGUUUAGUCAGAGGUGAAAGCCCAGGGCUCAACCUUGGAAUUGCCUUUGAUACUGGCUGUCUUGAGUACGGGAGAGGUGAGUGGAACUCCGAGUGUAGAGGUGAAAUUCGUAGAUAUUCGGAAGAACACCAGUGGCGAAGGCGACUCACUGGCCCGUUACUGACGCUGAGGCGCGAAAGCGUGGGGAGCAAACAGGAUUAGAACCCCUGUAGUCC